GACGGGGGGUGCAAGCGUUAUCCGGAAUCACUGGGCGUAAAGCGUCUGUAGGUGGUGAUGCAAGUCACUGGUGAAAAACUCUGGCUCAACCGGAGGAAAGCCAGUGAAACUGCAUGACUAGAGUGUGGGAGAGGUAGAAGGAAUUCCCUGAGUAGCGGUGAAAUGCGUAGAUACAGGGAAGAACACCGGAGGCGAAAGCGUUCUACUGGAACACAACUGACACUGAGAGACGAAAGCUAGGGGAGCGAAUGGG
This 253-nucleotide ribosomal RNA is filed under the name uncultured bacterium. RNAcentral describes it as "partial 16S ribosomal RNA". It matches the Rfam family "Bacterial small subunit ribosomal RNA", at positions 524 to 776 of the family's 1533-position model. The record is from RNAcentral.